RNAcentral lists this ribosomal RNA (650 nucleotides) under Serratia fonticola. RNAcentral describes it as "bacterial SSU rRNA". It matches the Rfam family "Bacterial small subunit ribosomal RNA", at positions 801 to 1452 of the family's 1533-position model. Lineage: Bacteria; Pseudomonadati; Pseudomonadota; Gammaproteobacteria; Enterobacterales; Yersiniaceae. The record is from RNAcentral.
AAAUGCUCGACUGUGAUAUGUUGUUGCCCUUGAGGCGUGGCUUCCGGAGCUAACGCGUUAAGUCCACCGCCUGGGGAGUACGGCCGCAAGGUUAAAACUCAAAUGAAUUGACGGGGGCCCGCACAAGCGGUGGAACAUGUGGUUUAAUUCCAUGCAACGCGAAAAACCUUACCUACUCUUGACAUCCACAAAACUUUCCAGAAAUGGAUUGGUGCCUUCCGGAACUGUGAAACAGGUGCUGCAUGGCUGUCGUCAGCUCGUGUUGUGAAAUGUUGGGUUAAGUCCCGCAACGAACGCAACCCUUAUCCUUUGUUGCCAGCGCGUAAUGGCGGGAACUCCUAGGAAACUGCCGGUGAUCAACCGGAAGAAGGUGGGGAUGACGUCCAGUCAUCAUGGCCCUUACCAGUAGGGCUACACACGUGCUACAAUGGCAUAUACCAAAAGAAGCAAACUCGCGAAAGCAAGCGGACCUCAUAAAGUAUGUCCUAAUCCGGAACGGAAUCUGCAACUCCACUCCCUGAAAUCCGAAUCCCUAGUAAUCCUAAAACAAAAUGCUACGGUGAAUACAUUCCCCGGCCUUGUACACACCGCCCGUCACACCAUGGGAGUGGGUUGCAAAAGAAAUACGUAGCUUAACCUUCUGGAGGGCG